Molecule: ribosomal RNA, 1423 nt
Filed under: Microbacterium trichothecenolyticum
Lineage: Bacteria; Bacillati; Actinomycetota; Actinomycetes; Micrococcales; Microbacteriaceae
Description: bacterial SSU rRNA
Rfam family: Bacterial small subunit ribosomal RNA
Source: RNAcentral
UGGCGGCGUGCUUAACCAUGCAAGUCGAACGGUGAAGCCAAGCUUGCUUGGUGGAUCAGUGGCGAACGGGUGAGUAACACGUGAGCAACCUGCCCUGGACUCUGGGAUAAGCGCUGGAAACGGCGUCUAAUACUGGAUAUGAGCUCUCAUCGCAUGGUGGGGGUUGGAAAGAUUUUUUGGUCUGGGAUGGGCUCGCGGCCUAUCAGCUUGUUGGUGAGGUAAUGGCUCACCAAGGCGUCGACGGGUAGCCGGCCUGAGAGGGUGACCGGCCACACUGGGACUGAGACACGGCCCAGACUCCUACGGGAGGCAGCAGUGGGGAAUAUUGCACAAUGGGCGGAAGCCUGAUGCAGCAACGCCGCGUGAGGGAUGACGGCCUUCGGGUUGUAAACCUCUUUUAGCAGGGAAGAAGCGAGAGUGACGGUACCUGCAGAAAAAGCGCCGGCUAACUACGUGCCAGCAGCCGCGGUAAUACGUAGGGCGCAAGCGUUAUCCGGGAAUUAUUGGGCGUAAAGAGCUCGUAGGCGGUUUGUCGCGUCUGCUGUGAAAUCCCGAGGCUCAACCUCGGGCCUGCAGUGGGUACGGGCAGACUAGAGUGCGGUAGGGGAGAUUGGAAUUCCUGGUGUAGCGGUGGAAUGCGCAGAUAUCAGGAGGAACACCGAUGGCGAAGGCAGAUCUCUGGGCCGUAACUGACGCUGAGGAGCGAAAGGGUGGGGAGCAAACAGGCUUAGAUACCCUGGUAGUCCACCCCGUAAACGUUGGGAACUAGUUGUGGGGACCAUUCCACGGUUUCCGUGACGCAGCUAACGCAUUAAGUUCCCCGCCUGGGGAGUACGGCCGCAAGGCUAAAACUCAAAGGAAUUGACGGGGACCCGCACAAGCGGCGGAGCAUGCGGAUUAAUUCGAUGCAACGCGAAGAACCUUACCAAGGCUUGACAUACACCAGAACAUCGUAGAAAUACGGGACUCUUUGGACACUGGUGAACAGGUGGUGCAUGGUUGUCGUCAGCUCGUGUCGUGAGAUGUUGGGUUAAGUCCCGCAACGAGCGCAACCCUCGUUCUAUGUUGCCAGCACGUAAUGGUGGGAACUCAUGGGANUACUGCCGGGGUCAACUCGGAGGAAGGUGGGGAUGACGUCAAAUCAUCAUGCCCCUUAUGUCUUGGGCUUCACGCAUGCUACAAUGGCCGGUACAAAGGGCUGCAAUACCGUGAGGUGGAGCGAAUCCCAAAAAGCCGGUCCCAGUUCGGAUUGAGGUCUGCAACUCGACCUCAUGAAGUCGGAGUCGCUAGUAAUCGCAGAUCAGCAACGCUGCGGUGAAUACGUUCCCGGGUCUUGUACACACCGCCCGUCAAGUCAUGAAAGUCGGUAACACCUGAAGCCGGUGGCCUAACCCUUGUGGAGGGAGCCGUCGAAUGGGGGAUC